UUGUGGUUAAACCGCAAAUAAGUGCAGAUGGUGGAUGCCUUGGUAUGGAAUGACGAUGAAGGACGUAGCAGCCUGCGAUAAGCCUCGGUGAGGUGGCAAGCAACCUUUGACCCGGGGAUAUCCGAAUGGGGUAACCCAAUCUGAUGGAAGAUCAGAUUAUCAGCCGCUGAAUUCAUAGGCGGUUAGAAGACAACCUGGGGAAGUGAAACAUCUCAGUACCCAGAGGAAGAGAAAACACCGAUACGUGGUUCUGUUGCUAUCACUCGCGCAAACGUUUGUGAGUGGUAGUAGCAGUGCCACAUAAUUCCCGGAGUAGUGGCGAGCGAAACGGGACCAGCCCAAACUUAGUGACGCUUGAACUUGCGAUGCGUGUAUAUCUUUUGAUAGAUACGAAGCGCGGGUUUUAAGGCUCAUUCAGCCAAUGUGUUUCUAAGCGUAGUAAGAUAGUAGCGUCUUGAGAGUGAAUGAUUCUCAAGGGGAGAAUUAGAAAUCAAAACUUUCCUAGUCGAAUGGCCUGGAACGGCCAGCCAAAGAAGGUGACAGCCCUGUAGGCGAAAGGAGUUUUGGGCUCCUAGUUAUUAUUCUUGAGUACCACGGGACUCGUGAAAUCCAGUGGGAAGCAAGCGCGACUAUGCGUUAAGGCUAAAUACAUUCCAUAACCGAUAGUGAACUAGUACCGUGAGGGAAAGGUGAAAAGCACCCCGGUGAGGGGGAUGAAAUAGUACCUGAAA
This 731-nucleotide ribosomal RNA is filed under the name Candidatus Veblenbacteria bacterium RIFOXYA2_FULL_43_9. RNAcentral describes it as "bacterial LSU rRNA". It matches the Rfam family "Bacterial large subunit ribosomal RNA", at positions 1 to 555 of the family's 2925-position model. The record is from RNAcentral. Lineage: Bacteria; Candidatus Vebleniibacteriota.